Oncorhynchus kisutch (coho salmon) is the source of this 8031-nucleotide RNA transcript. It is a transcript of the gene named myosin VIb, with no coding region annotated. The transcript is spliced from 32 exons. Lineage: Eukaryota; Metazoa; Chordata; Actinopteri; Salmoniformes; Salmonidae. The record is from RefSeq and is a predicted model, not a curated record.
GCCUCCCAGGUGGACUUCAGUCCGCUCAGCUGUGGGUAGGCUGCUGCUGAAUUACCGGUCGACAGAGUACCAAAAUAAGAGUUCGGAUAUUGUCAAUUAUAUUUUGUAUGCGGGAAUUUUAACUGGUUUUUCGUUGAGCCACAUCAAGAAUACCGACAUAUCGUUUAAGGAACACAUUGAUAGCCCACAGGGUAGCUGUAGUUAGCCAUGGAGGAUGGGAAACCAGUGUGGGCGCCCCACCCCACCGAUGGGUUUCAACUGGGCAUGAUCGUGGACAUUGGAGCUGGCGCCCUCACCAUCGAACCAUUCAACCGGAAGGGCAAGACCUUUCUGGCUUCUAUGAACCAAGUGUUCCCUGCUGAGGAGGAUGUCAACAAACAUAUGGAGGACAACUGUUCUCUUAUGUACCUGAAUGAAGGCACACUCUUAAACAACGUCCGAGUGCGGUAUAGUAAAGACAAGAUUUAUACUUAUGUGGCCAACAUCUUGAUUGCGGUGAACCCUUACUAUGACAUACCCAAACUGUACGCUCCAGAGACCAUCAAGUCUUAUCAGGGCCGGUCCCUGGGCACUCUACCACCUCACGUCUACGCUAUCGCGGACAAGGCUUACCGGGACAUGAGGGUGCUGAAGAUGAGCCAGUCUAUCAUAGUGUCUGGAGAAUCUGGGGCCGGGAAGACAGAAAACACAAAGUUUGUCCUCAGAUAUUUAACAACAUCAUACGGAACGGGUCAAGAUAUUGAUGAGAGAAUUGUUCAAGCAAACCCCCUGCUUGAGGCCUUUGGAAACGCCAAGACAGUCAGAAAUAACAACAGCAGUCGUUUUGGGAAAUUUGUGGAAAUCCACUUCAAUGAAAAGAAUAAAGUGGUGGGUGGCUUCGUGUCUCACUACCUGCUGGAGAAGUCAAGGAUUUGCAUGCAGAGUAAAGAGGAGAGGAACUACCACAUCUUCUACAGGCUAUGUGCCGGAGCCUCUGAGGACAUCAGACAGAGGCUGCACCUUGACUCCCCUGACAGCUUCAGGUAUUUGAAUCGAGGAUGCACGAGAUACUUUGCCAGCAAGGACACAGACAAACAGAUCAUGCAGAAUCGCAAGAGUCCUGAGCAUGUGAAGCUGGGCGCCCUGAAGGACCCUCUGUUGGACGACCAGGGAGACUUCAACAGGAUGUGCGGGGCCAUGAAGAAGAUUGGCCUGGACGACACGGAGAAGCUGGACCUGUUCAGGGUGGUGGCCGGGGUGCUGCACCUGGGUAACAUUGACUUUGAGGAAACCGGGAGUACAUCGGGCGGCUGCAUCCUGAUGAACCAGUCUAGUCAGAAGCUGGCCUACUGUGCUGACUUGCUGGGCCUAGACCAGGAGGACCUGAGAGUCAGCCUCACCACCAGGGUCAUGCUCACCACAGCAGGGGGCGCCAAAGGAACAGUUAUCAAGGUGCCUUUGAGGGUGGAACAGGCAAACAACGCCCGGGACGCCCUGGCCAAGGCCGUGUACAGCUGCCUCUUCGAUCACGUGGUCAGGAGGGUCAACCAGUGUUUCCCCUUCAAAACCUCCUCCAACUUCAUCGGGGUGCUGGAUAUCGCCGGCUUCGAGUAUUUUGAACACAACAGCUUUGAGCAGUUCUGCAUCAACUACUGCAACGAGAAGCUGCAGCAGUUCUUCAACGAGCGCAUCCUGAAAGAGGAGCAAGAGCUAUAUCAGAGGGAAGGACUGGGAGUCAAUGAAGUUCAUUAUGUCGACAACCAGGACUGCAUAGACCUGGUGGAAGCAAAACUAGUGGGCAUCCUGGACAUUCUGGAUGAAGAGAACCGUCUACCACAGCCCAGCGACCAUCACUUUGCCAACACCAUCCACAGCCAGCACAAAGACCACUUUAGACUGACGGUCCCUAGGAAGUCGAAGCUGGCUGUUCACAGGAACGUCAGAGAUGAUGAAGGCUUCAUUGUCAGACACUUUGCCGGAGCUGUGUGCUACGAGACGAUCCAGUUUGUAGAGAAGAAUAAUGAUGCCCUCCACAUGUCUUUGGAGAGCCUUGUGUGUGAGUCCAAGGACAAGUUUGUGCGAGAGCUUUUUGAGAACUCUAACAACAGCAAGGACUCCAAGCAGAAGGCUGGCAAACUCAGUUUCAUCAGUGUGGGCAAUAAAUUCAAGACCUCCAGUCUCCUACCUCUUUUCCCAAGAAAUCCAUGUCAGCUAGAGAGGGGGGCGAAAGAAAAGGUGUGGAAAAAGUCAAGAGAUAGAAAGUAGCAGCCAGGCUAAAGUCGGUCACAAAGAAGUAUAGUCAGCCAGGGACAGAAGACCCAGUUGAACCUACUGCUGGAGAAGCUUCGCAGCACUGGCUCCAGCUUCAUUCGCUGUGUAAAACCCAACUUAAAGAUGGUGAGCCACCAAUUUGAAGGAGCCCAGAUUCUGUCUCAGCUGCAGUGUUCAGGCAUGGUGUCAGUGCUGGACCUAAUGCAGGGCGGCUUCCCCUCACGAGCUCCCUUCCAUGAGCUCUACAACAUGUACAAGCAAUACAUGCCUGACAAGCUCACACGACUGGACCCCAGGCUCUUCUGCAAGGCUUUGUUCAAAGCACUAGGGCUGAAUGAGAAUGACUACAAGUUUGGGUUGACCAGAGUAUUCUUCCGUCCUGGGAAGUUUGCAGAGUUUGACCAAAUCAUGAAGUCGGACCCGGACCACCUGGCAGAGCUGGUGAAGAAGGUCAACCAGUGGCUGGUCAUCAGCCGCUGGAAGAAGGUCCAGUGGUGCACCCUCUCCGUCAUCAAACUGAAGGAGAAGAUGAAAUAUCGUGCCUCUGCCCUUAUUAAGAUUCAGAAGACCGUCCGCAUGUGGCUCUGUAAGAGGAAACAUAAGCCACGCAUCGAUGGCAUGGUGAAGGUGCGUAACCUGAAAACGCGGAUGGAGUGCUUCAACGAGGUGGUGGGCGCACUGAAGGAGGGCAAGCAGGAGAUGGCCAAGCAGAUCCAGGAGCUGGGGGCCUCCAUCGACACCCUUAUGGCCAAGAUUAAGGCAACAGUAAUGACCCGGAAGGAGAUUGACCAGGAGUACCAGGGUCUGGUGAAGCGCUCGGAGCAACUGCUCUCCUCUAUGCAGCAGAAGAAGCAGGAGGAGGAGGAGAUGGAGAGGCUGCGGCGCAUCGAGGAGGAGAUGGCGCAGGAGAGGAGGCGAAGGGAGGAGGAGGACCAGCGACGCCAGAAGGAGGAAGACGAUAGGAGGAUGAAAUCGGAGAUGGAGCAAAAGAGGAAGCAGGAAGAAGAGGAAAGGAAGAGGAGAGAGGAAGAGGAGAGGAUAAUGCAGGCGGAGAUGGACAUCCAGAUAGCGUUGGAGCGAGAGGAGGACGCCCAGCGGUCAGCCAUGUUGGAGCAGGAGAAGAGGGACAGAGAGCUGGCCAUGAGGAUCGCCCAGAGUGAAGCCGAACUCAUCACCGACGAGGCCCUAAUGGACCUCAGCCUGCGCAGGUACACACGGAUACAAACAAACACACACAGAAGUGGACACACAAACACACACACUGUGCUGUAUAUUGUUAUUCAUAUAUUGUCGUGUCUCAAUACACGAGCCCUAGAUUAGGUUUUUGCAGGACGUACCCAAGGUUAGGUACGUGGAAAAGGUUGUUGUUUAACCCAGAAAAUGUUGUAAUAAGAGCUCAAGGGAGCUUCUGCAGCAGGAUUUGGUAAGGAUUCAACAAGUCAAAUAAAAAUAGGUGUUGUGUUUCAUCUAGGUCCGAAAGGAGACCACUACCUGUCCACUGCAUGCAUAACCUAUUUUUGUUCUCCUUUUGUUCUCCCCUCUUUCAGAAAUGGGUCUUUCUCAGGUCUCUAUCCAGACACAAUGAGAUCCAUGUAAGACAUUAGCCAUUAGUUUAGCCUCCUGCUUCCAGUAACCUAACACAACCCAUUAAUCACACUCCCCCGCAUGCUUUAAUCUCAACCUCAAAUCUAAUCUUUCAUCAAUUUAUAUCCAGGAUUAUACCAGCCCAUGCAAAGCCAUCAUAAACAAUACGCAAAUUCUCUAACUCUUCACGUUGGAUCGAACCAAAUAACACCACAUUCCAGUCACGAAUCAAUCCGCCGUUGUGGUCCCGGCCCAGGGCAUGAAUCAACAGUGCCAUGGGAUAAGCACGUCUGUUACUAGCCCAACGUAAACAGGCAACCGUUGCGUGACAAAUCUAAACAGGAACAGGAACAUGCCGAUCUGCUUUUGAUCGGUUUCUGCUGAUUCUUCUAAGUUGCAACAAUCAUAUGCUCAUAUAUCCUAAUCAUCAUAUCCUCUGUUUGCAGUGCUGGUGGACUUCAAAACCUCAAGGCAAUCACAAUGUAUGUUCUCUGGGACUUUUUUAUACGUUGCAUUUGUUCUUAUAAAGCAUAUGGAUAUGGCAAACAUUGAUAUUCCAUUCCUAUUGUAUUAGAUCUGAUAGCUUUGCACAACUAUUUGAUAAAACACACAAAGCCCCCUCCCCCUAACUCCUAACCAACGUUCGUGGUAGGACUAAUUAGCUAACUACUUAGGACUCACACUUAACCACUCCAGUAAGGAUAUCAGUAGCUACCACCGUCAAAACAAAUGGAUGAGUUUAGCCGUGGUUAGUUACAGUUGGAAUAGAGUAGUACUGUAUUUGGUGUACUGACACUUGGGCUACCUGUUCACUCAUCAGAUGCGAUUAUUUCUUCAUGACUUGUCACUGAGGGAUACAUUUAAGCAGCUUCCAAUUUUGACAGCUGUCAACACGCCACAAGUGUCACAACAGUGUGUGACUGUCACAACGCAGGCUGACAUCAACGUAUCAGAUGGCUGCACACACGGUUCAUAGUGGAAGCCACCCUGAACUCUGUGACCAAUGGGAAAUACUAUUUAUACUACUGAUAUAUGGAUGUGUAUGAAUCAGAGACAUUGGUGUAUUAUUCUGUUAUAGUAAUUUAUGUGUGCUGGUAUUAAUGUGUUUAUAGGGAGGAAAUGGCGCUGGAAAUGUCACAACUUCUGGCUUGGUGGGUAAUGGAGAGAAAUAGUUUUUUCUCGGAUCAAUGAUCAUCUGAAUCACCCAAAUCGAUUAAUCAAAUGAAUCAUUUCCGAAGAAUUCAAAUGUAUUAUUGAAAUUGUUUCAAAUCCUAGUGCGCAAAGGGAAAUGAAGAGAUUUUACCAACUAUGUUAUCUUGUUGAUCAGUUUAUUGAAUCUUGAAAUUAGACGUGUCUGCAUGCGUGUGUGUAUUUUGGGAUGAAAUCUGAUUGUGUACCAGCUGUGGCAUUGACCACAACUAUUGCACUUUGAACACAACUAACUUCCUUAAAACUGGUUUAAGUUACUACUGCAGAAGUUACUGCAAACAACAAACACAGUUUUUUCCCCUCGGACAUCAAUGUACGCUGUUUCCCCUUACUAUGGAUUCCAUAGUAAGGGGAAUUGCAUGCUAUCUAUAAUAAGCGCUCUUUGUUAGAGCUAGUUGGCCAACGCACUCAAUCCCUGUUACCCCCGGAGCACUUUGAGGGGGUGACAUGGCGACUAUGCAGCGCUCAGCCCCAAAGGUCAGGUGAGCUGUCACCACCACACACAACAUAGUCUCUCCCUGACAUUCUUCUGUCACUCCGGUAUCUGCCCAGGCUGGCCCUCCUCUUACAGGGAGGCUUAUUGUCCGAAGAUUGGAUUAGCACCAGAACACCCAAGGAUUCCUCUACAGCGGCCCAAAGCCUUGACCCUGCCACAGAGACAGACCUGGAGGGCCACCCGUAAAUAGGGGCCAAAUCCUGCCUGUCGGGUUGUUAAUUAGAGAUCUCAGAAGCAUGCUGCGGGACGCAGGUAAAGGGCUACAGACUGUGCUUACCGAAGCCCAGGAACACACUGACUAAGUUUAGGUGGGGUGUGGAAAAGGUUAUAGGGUGAAAUGGUCACACUAAAUGGCCACACAUCUGCAGUGGGAGUGUAAUUGCCUGUGGGAUGUCAGAGAGCAGUGACAAAGUCAGACACAGAUUUUCCCCUUUUUGCCCCACUUAGCACUUGAUUAUUUUUCUGAUUGUUACCAGAAUUUUAGUCUUUGAAAAUGACCACCGCAUCACUAUGGCGGCGCCGAUUCUAGCGGGGAUUCCGAGACGUCCCACUGCUCUGACUUUUGAAAAUUGAUUCCUCUCUUCUCUCCCUUCCUUGCGGGGAAUGCAGGGGUCCACAGGUGCAGGCACUCAAAGCCGCCGGCGUGAGGAAGUACGACCUGAGCAAGUGGAAGUACGCUGAGCUGCGGGAUGUCAUCAACACCUCGUGCGAUAUUGAGCUGCUGGCGGCAUGCAGGGAGGAGUUCCAUCGCCGUCUAAAGGUCUACCACGCCUGGAAGUCCAAGAACAAGAAACGUGACACAGCCACAGAGCAGAGGGCCCCCAAAUCUAUCACUGACUACGCCCAACAGAACCCGGCUCCAGCCAUGGCCGCCCAGCAGCAGGAGAUAGCCAUGAACCGCCAGCAGCGCUACUUCCGCAUCCCCUUCAUCCAUCCCGGUGACCAGUACAAGGACCCCCAGAACAAGAAGAAGGGCUGGUGGUACGCCCACUUUGACGGGCCCUGGAUCGCCAGGCAGAUGGAGCUACACCCAGACAAGCAGUCCAUCCUACUCGUGGCAGGAAAAGAUGACAUGGAGAUGUGUGAGCUAAGCCUGGAGGAGACAGGCCUGACCACGAAGAGGGGGGCUGAGAUCCUCCCUCGGCAAUUUGAGGAUGUCUGGGAACGCUGCAACGGGAUCAUGUACCUUCGAAACGCCAUCGAAAGCAGACAGGCCAGGCCCACGUACGCCACAGCUAUGCUGCAGAACCUCCAGUGAACCAGAGGAUCACCCAUGUCCAUGGGCUCAAAAAGAAUGCAGUAAAUAAAGGGAAGAAAGCAGAAGCAUUCCCUAUUAUAGCAGUCUUUGAAGCUAACGGUUAUCUCACUGAGGUCAUUUAAACAUUUUACUUAGAUAUGUUGGUUUUGUUUCUUUGUUAGUUUGUGGGGAAUAUACAUACCAAUUUACAUCUCGUCCUCAAGCAAUAAACCUACGAUUGAAUGAAAUGUUUACUACGAGGCCUUAACUAUUUUAUUGGUAUUAAUGAGAAGUUUCAGAUCAGCCUUUCCUCAAAACAGUCUUAAUUGUAUAUUCAUGUUUAGUUGUUAAAUGAAAUUUAAGCACUGUUGGAACUAUUGUAUUUGAUUGAAUAAAUUGUUGCAAAUAUUUGGCUUUAUGACUCUAGGAAUAAUUGAUUUUGUCGGGCACAUUUUCAGGAUAACGCAGCUGUUCCUCUGUCUGUAGGGCUGGUAUUUCCAUAAUGCUGGGGGCAGGUUGUAUCCUUGGAUGUUGAAUUUGUUGCUGUUAUUUGUUUUAAGAAAGCUUAUUUGACAUUUUCAUGACAAUGAAAGCGCACCAGCUCACAUCUUUUAACAACAGGACAUUGCAGGACUUGUGCAACGAUAGAUGAUUCAUAGGAAGGCAGAUGACAUAAUAUAUUUCUCAAAAAUAUCUUGUUUACGACUUUGUCGAAGGCUGUAUUUUGAGUGUCAUCGUUAACCAUACAGGAGGUUAAUUAGAGCACAAACCUCUUUGGGACACAGUGAAAAUAUACACUUUCCGAAUAUGGCAUAGUGAAAGAAAUCAGUCACUAUUUGUAUUGCAUAGUGACAGAUUGUAUUUACAUCUAAUAACUCCUUUUUAAAAGAAAUUGUAGAAUUUGUAAAUGUAUUUUCAUAGAGGGAACUCCCAAGGGCUUUCUGUUCACCACUAAUAUAAAACACUAAAAACCGAAUUGUCCAACUAUUUUAAUAACUUUGUUGAAAGUUUAAUGUUUCUAGGUGUGAUUUGUAUUGGUCUUUCAAUCUAGAUUGCUUGACUUUUGCCUAGCCUUGACGUUCUGACAUGAGUAAUUCAUCUCAUUGUGAACCCCCCCAGUUAUAAUUUGAUAAUGAGUGAUCUAAUUGUUUGUAUUAUUUUCUGUACAUUAAAAUUGUUUUGCAAUUUCAGAUUCAACUUCAAUUGUAUGCUGAGUAUUGCACUGCAAUAUAGGAAAUAAAUGCAUUCAACCUUU